GAGCUGGUUGCAGAUCAAGCAUCCUCCUCCGUAUUGACAUCGCUGUCCCCAACUUCAUCCCAUUCAUCCUUGGUAGUGGCACAGACUGCACUAUCCCCAGCUUUAUCCCAUUCAUCUGAUUCCACCGUUAUUCUGGAGUCCACAAGAAAAAGGAGGAACCCAACAGGGUUAAUGGACCAGAAUGAAGCAAAACAGAUGGUUGAGGGUGUUCUGAGGGCCAAUCCAAAGGGUGAAGAAGUCUUCAAUGAGUAUGAUAAGACUAAAACACUAACUGAUGCAACCCGUAAACAAAUGGUGAACAUCCUGGUUGCAGAUAUGAUAGAGCUACAUGGGAGGGUUCCACCGUCAAGUGUAAGGACCAAUUGUGCACUGGGAAUUGUGACUCUUUUUCCAUACCUCCGUGAUUCAUUCUCCAAACUUGGAUAUGAACACUACUAUGAUCCUGAGGGUAAUACUGGCUUAAUUU
This is a long non-coding RNA of Gasterosteus aculeatus aculeatus (three-spined stickleback), 466 nucleotides long. NCBI's taxonomy places the organism in Eukaryota, Metazoa, Chordata, Actinopteri, Perciformes, Gasterosteidae. The record is from Ensembl.